AAGCAGGGGAUCUUCGGACCUUGCGCUAAUAGAUGAGCCUAAGUCAGAUUAGCUAGUUGGUGGGGUAAAGGCCUACCAAGGCGACGAUCUGUAGCGGGUCUGAGAGGAUGAUCCGCCACACUGGGACUGAGACACGGCCCAGACUCCUACGGGAGGCAGCAGUGGGGAAUAUUGGACAAUGGGCGAAAGCCUGAUCCAGCCAUGCCGCGUGUGUGAAGAAGGCCUUUUGGUUGUAAAGCACUUUAAGCGAGGAGGAGGCUACUUAGAUUAAUACUCUAGGAUAGUGGACGUUACUCGCAGAAUAAGCACCGGCUAACUCUGUGCCAGCAGCCGCGGUAAUACAGAGGGUGCGAGCGUUAAUCGGAUUUACUGGGCGUAAAGCGUGCGUAGGCGGCUUUUUAAGUCGGAUGUGAAAUCCCUGAGCUUAACUUAGGAAUUGCAUUCGAUACUGGGAAGCUAGAGUAUGGGAGAGGAUGGUAGAAUUCCAGGUGUAGCGGUGAAAUGCGUAGAGAUCUGGAGGAAUACCGAUGGCGAAGGCAGCCAUCUGGCCUAAUACUGACGCUGAGGUACGAAAGCAUGGGGAGCAAACAGGAUUAGAUACCCUGGUAGUCCAUGCCGUAAACGAUGUCUACUAGCCGUUGGGGCCUUUGA
This 651-nucleotide ribosomal RNA is filed under the name Acinetobacter johnsonii. RNAcentral describes it as "bacterial SSU rRNA". It matches the Rfam family "Bacterial small subunit ribosomal RNA", at positions 202 to 835 of the family's 1533-position model. Lineage: Bacteria; Pseudomonadati; Pseudomonadota; Gammaproteobacteria; Moraxellales; Moraxellaceae. The record is from RNAcentral.